Molecule: long non-coding RNA, 449 nt
Filed under: Vulpes vulpes (red fox)
Lineage: Eukaryota; Metazoa; Chordata; Mammalia; Carnivora; Canidae
Description: lncRNA (ENSVVUG00000008408.1)
Source: RNAcentral
UUCGCAGCCUCCUCCACGCAGGCGCUCUUCGCUCGGCGGCUGCGGGCUGCUUUCUCCGCCUGGGCCGGCGCAGGGCACUGGGCAGCGGCGGCGGCCCGCGAGCCGAGUCCCCGCGCAUCGCCUGCGCCCCCGGGAAUCCGGGCGCUACCCCACGAAGCUGCCGCACCAGCAGCCCCAGAGCCGGCCUCAGUGGCCCUUGGCUUUUUGUGUAACUUUGUACCUGGCAUCUACUCUGGGCAUAGCCUGCACUAGGAUCUAAGGGAAUGGUGAGAGAACGUCAGCAGAGUCUCUUCAAGGCCUUUGGGGGAGGAGCUCCAAGUGGACUCCACUCUGCCACGUCUGGGCUGCCCCAGUCUUGCUCCAUUAUGGCCCCUCAGUGUGGAGCAGAACUUUUUCUCCAGCUCACCAGCUGACUUCUAUGGACAAGGCAUUCUCAGCCACACUGAGCA